This is a long non-coding RNA of Gallus gallus (chicken), 8115 nucleotides long. The record is from Ensembl. Lineage: Eukaryota; Metazoa; Chordata; Aves; Galliformes; Phasianidae.
AUUCUGGAUUUUUUGUAGAGGAAUGAUAGGAUUAGGUUUUUUCCCUCUUGAAAUUGCGACCUGUCUUUCCAGUUCUUCCACACGGUCAUGCAAUAGUUGAUUUUCAUCAGUGAGAGCUGCUUCAGUUAUAUUUAGUUGGUUCAAGGCCAUCAGCAGUGGCCAUGCCCCCGUGGAGACAACUAAUUGUUGUUCUCGAGUUGUUUCAAAAUCAGUCAUCACCAGCACACUCCCCAGCCUGGUGCACUUGACAGACUACUACCUACUACUGCUCUUCCAGACAGAUGACAGAAGCUGCAUCCUGUAGUCUGAGGGGAAUGAAGACUGCAAGGCCUUGGGACGAUUGGUGAAAGACUCUGGGGUGCAAGCUAUUUUCUCUUCCCUCCUUCCAUUUUCAGAUUCUGAGUAAGGUCCACUUGUACCAAACAAAAUCUCAAGGACUGGAAGAUAUUCAGACUCUGCAAGCAAGGUGACAUUGGCUGAUUAAUUUAUUUGAUUUGUACCACAGUGGAAAAGUAGUGUAUCUCUUUCAUCUUGAUGAAAUAGGUGAAGAAAAUGCAUGUUUUAAGUGACUGUUUGGUACUCUCCUGUAAAAUGUGCACUGAGAUAAUUAAGAUACACAUGAAUAGAAUGCAAAUAUCAUACUAACUGUGGUGUCAGACAACCUAUCACCUAAGUCCUUAUCAGCACCUGAGGAAUGGAAAGCAGCAAAGACAAUCCACCCUUUGAGAAGGAAUCCAAGUUACUUUUCCUUCAUGAACCCACGCUGCCUGUGAGCAGUGAUGACAUUGUUUUUCAGCGUAAUUUUCUCCAUCAUUUUUGCAGGUGGGAUUGACAGGUCCAUAAUUACCAGGGUCUUCUCCAUUGCUCUUCUUGAAAAUAGAAGCAAUGUUUUCCAACUUUCACUCAAGUGGGACCUCUUCAGAUUUCUAAGACCACUGAAAAAUAAUGUUGGAUUCAAAUUUGUCUUACCAAGAAAUUUGUGUCAUUUCUAAUAGUUUCCUGUAAACCUUUUUCAGGUUCAGAAAGACAAGUAAUGUUAAAUCUAGGAAAAAAAAAAAAAAAAAAAAAAAAAAAGCAAUCAAAACUGAGAACAUAUCAGAAAACAUAGUACAUCACUGGUGUUCCCAUCUUGAAUACUGAAUGAAGUUCUGAUAAAAUCAACUUAAAGAGAAGUACAGAACUAGAAAACAUGUAGAAAAAGAAUGAGGAAGAUGAUCAGAAGUAAGGAACAGACUCCACCUGAAAGAAUAAACAGCCUAUCACUUUAGGUUUGUAAAUCUUGGAAGAGAUUCACUAGUUUGCAUGAUACAAAAAGUACUGUGUGCGCUUUUCAGUAUGCUUCCUUCUGCUCUUAACUCUUAAGUUAUUAUUACUAAGAGAUGGAAAGCACCACUGAAUAUUUCCACUGUUGCUCUCAACUAUAUCUACUGCACACUGAUGUUCACUGUAGAGUAGUUGUGUAAACUCUUCAAAAGAUUAUUCAUACUAAUAUUGCAAAAACAAGCACUUGCAAGUUAUGAUUGAGGAUGCCUUUACAAUAAAGUUUCUGCCCUCUUGUACAUGCAUACUCUAUACCUCUUUUUCCAAACACCUCCUAUCUCAUCAUUGCUUAGGGUGGCUGACACUCCCCAGGUGAGCUACUUAGUCAAUGUUAUGUUCUAUCACCAUAAUUCAGUGACGACACAGUGUAGUUCUUUUGCACUAUGCCAUCGAGCUCAAGCUGUGAACGCAGAAUUAUUCUUUUCCCAUGGGCAUUGUGACUUGAUUUUCCCCCAAGUUCUCUCUUUGACUUUUCAAUUAAGUCUGAAAAUUCUGUAAGGGAAUACAGUAGAUGAAGGGAGUUUUUACUUCGUUUUCCAGCUUUCACAAGAAAAAAGUCAUAUUACCACUUUCAUCUGUUCUAUUUUGAAUUGCUAUGACUUUUCCUGGAAGCGGAAUCUGAUUACUCCUAUAAUUCAGAACUUUUUUCCUAAGUUAUUAAUGGCUAGUUUGUAUGCACUCUUCCUUAGCAAAAAUGUGUGCUUUUUAUUAACUAUCUCCCUGUCUCACAGUGUUUCACUUCACCCAUCAUGUCUCCCCCCUCUAACAUUCUGGAUAUGCACGGGUUGUAGUUUUCUCCUUCCUCCUCCCAGCCCUCAUUUUAUAAAGCUUAUCAAGCCAGGCUUGCCUCGUGUCUUCCCUUUAGACAAGUACUUUUUUCCUCUGACCAUCCUAGUAAUAAGCCAAUGAAGCAUGCUGAGUUAACUUUCCGGAAGACGGGUGGCCAGAGCUGUAUGCAGUAUGGUAGGUGAUGUCAUAAAAAAGUAGUUAAAAUGUGUCAUUAAUGCUGCUCUAUUUCUUCAAGUGGUGAUUGACUUUUUUAUUGAUACACGACUUGAUCAUCUUAACUAAUAAUUUUCUAUGUGGGAGCCAUGACUAUCUUGGAUUCCUUUUUCUUCUUACGAGUAAAAGUAGAAAUUACUUUUAUUCUAAGUAAAAGUAGUUGAGAGUAUCCCAAAAUAUUUCAUAAUGUCAUUAAUAUAAAAGCUGAAUAACUUAUACCACUUCUCUUUGAAAGUCAAACAACUUUUAUGUAAAAAUAGACAAAAAAGAACAUAUAUUUUUUACUAUAUCUUCUCAAUUUUCAUAACCACAGUGAGUUCAUUGACUUAUAUCAUGGGUGUCCAACAUUUUGUCUUGCCUGGGCUGCACUGAAUAAAGAGGAAUUUUCUUGGGCCAAAUACAUAUAAGUUGUUCCAAAAGUAAUGUCUCCCAUUUAUUUCCAUGGAAAUGACAACAGAUACAAAGAGCAAGAUAAUACUGUUUGAUAGAGCAAGCUCUGCUGCAGAACACUCUUUUUCAGUGCAGUCAACACCAUCAGCCAUUCAUUUUUGCCACCAGUGAACAAGAGCCUGCAUGGUGCAUCCAUAAAAAUCUGCGCCAGAGGAGUGACCCACUGUUGCCACUGCUGAAAUGCACCAUCUACCUCCUCACUGUGCUCACACCCACUGUUUAGUCCUCAUAAACAUUCAACAAGUAUCAGUGAAUGCCAGUGGGUGCAAUUUUUUCCACAUGGAGAAAUUCAGUGGCAUAUCUUUGCUCCAUAUGCACUUCCAUGUCAGACAUCACUUUUUCCGACUGCCCCUCUGCUGCCAUCUAUCACACAACAUCAAAAUGCAAUGGGAUAUUGGUGGUAAGGUUCACCUUCUGCUGCCACGACACCAACAUCUGCCUCUGAUGUCACGGGCCAACGUAUUGGAGGCAUUGGAGGCAUUACUUUCAGAGGAGCCCCAGUAAGAUAUGUCAUAUAAUUAAUAUGCAAGCAACAAAAACAUUAAACUAGUGGGAUAUUUGACCUUGAUUUUGUGAAACUAACGCAUCAGUCUUGUUCAAUGGAAGUGGCUACAAUUCUUAGUGAGGUCUCAGGGUGUUCAUCAGAGAUUUCUGAUGAAGAAUUACCCUUCCUGUGCUUCAUCCUUGACAAUUGCUCACAAAUGUACAUACUGCCAAAUAAGUGAUGAUAUGACUAAGGUAUAGUUGUGAAGCAAAGGAUAUUUUUCUCUGGCAAGAGGGGUCUUACAAAAGUUUGGGAAAGAGACAUGAUCAGAUAAUACAGAUCUAUACAUCCCAUCUGAAAAUUUGCAGAUAAUGUAUUUAUAUCAGCUGGAAAUGGUGUUGCAAGUAUAAAUUGAUGAUUGCAUUUUUUAAAAAAAAUUGAAACAUUUAAAUUGAAAAUUUCAAUUGAAAUUGAAAUGAAACUCACUGGAGAAUGUUCCUUUUCAAAGGACACUCCCUUCAGAAAAGACAGAAUGGAAAUCAAAGAUACACAAAUUGCUUUUGUGAUUGUUAUUUAAUUUAGAAGGACACAAGGAUUCUUUGAAGAUGAAAAUGAUUCUCAUUAUGAUUUUAUUACCUAUUUUCAUCUUAAAUAAUUUUCUCUUAUUAGUUGAAAUCAGUAAGGUAAUAAAAGUCAGUCCCAUAAAUCCAGCGUGAGAGAAAGAUCAUAAGCACCUGUUUCUUGAAAAGAUUUAUGUAUAAACUUUGUCUUUCUUCCCCAAAAGCGUGAUGGUGGAUGUGUAAAGGUUCGUAGUUGUGCCUGACAUGUGUGGCACUGUAAAGCAGUAAGUAACAUCACUGUUACUUAUCAUGUUAACAUCAUCCUUACAGAUAAAAGGCAAACACACAGUUAGCCAGGCUUAACCUCUUCAAAAACUGUUACACUUCAUGUACAAAGAGAUCUAUGCUUUUAUUUGCUAUGAUAUUUAAAGGUUUGUUUAAACUUCUGCAUGGUAUCUAGCGAUCUCAUGGAAAUCAGAGCAGACAAACAGAGCACAGACACUCCGGAGGCAGAAGCCAGAGUGGCAUUACAAGCCGAAGUGACAAAUGUCAUAGUUGGUGCAGGACAAUUCUUCUCAUGGUAAAUCAGAAUAAUUUUUUCAUUGCUCACUGUAAUAAGUAAAUAAACAAACAAACAAAUAAAUAAGCAUUUAAUACCAACAAAGAUUAACAUUUCUUAUCUAACUACAAGUGAGCAUACAGAAGGACACCAGGACUGGGAUCAGAACCCACAUCAGGGUCCCCUAACUCCUUCAUAAUUUGCAGGCUGUUUUAAUCAACCCUGUUUAUAACUGUAGCUGCCUUUCUAGUAGAAGAGCUGAGAAUCUGCUGGUUUCCCUGGCAACUAUUAGUAAUGCAAGUAAGCUACAAUGCAGAAAAAAUAAUAUUGUACCCAAUCCUGUAGUCAAUAAUUGCACCAAUUCCCCUCCCAUAUCAAAGGUAAUUUCACAAUAUUUUUUUAUCUCCCAUUUUCAUUGUGGAAGGAAUAGCAGAUAACAACUCUACAGUAACAUCAUUUUCACAACUCUUCUGUUUUCCCAUAUCACUCUUUCUGGAGUUUAACAAAAUGAACCAUUUAAUCCGUGCAGAUUAGCUCUGUAGUGUUACUGGAGGGAUCAGAGAAGGAAGGUUAAACAAAAUGCAGGCAAUUCUCCCUGUCUCUCUUUUUCUAAGGAUGUCCUGCUCCUGUUCUGUAGCAUAUCAAACAUCAAAAGCGGUUUGCAUAACCCACGCUCCAGAAAAGGUGAUUCAGUCUAAUAACUACAGGACUGAAAAGAGAAAUGCAGGACUAAAGUAGUGUUUUCUCACUGUUUAUUCUUCCUAUUUUAACACCAGCUGAUUAUAUUUUCCUCAGAAAUGUCUGAUACCUUGCUUUUCUGCAGUACUGGUUACAGGCUGUCUUUGCUACUUACAUGUAUUCACCUUCUCAACAUGAAUGUCACAUCCAAAAGGGAGAUGACUGUUGAGUUAUAAAAUCUGCGUCAGUUUAUCUUGUUUGGCAGAUACAUGUUUGGCAUUUAUGUGGACCAGUAAUACUUGGUCACAAUGCAAAGCUUUCACCGGAACUCAGAAAUGAGCGAAGAGAGAAUGACUUUGAAAUAUACAAAUGAAAUGAAUGAAUGAUGUGGCUAUCCCAGCUGUGGAAAGCAAGGAAAAUCCCCCAUUUCUGCAAAAUAAAUAGUCAGAGAUCAGUUGAGGGGAACAGGAAAGAGUUAAAGAUAAAAAAGUAAACAAGGAUUAAGUCAGUCUGUAGCAGAAAAUGGAAUUUCAGCCCUUUGCUGACUAAUCUGGAGGUAGUGGUAUUUCCAAAAGACUACAUUUAGAGCAAGGAAAGGAGCAGGAUGUGAAAACUAAGUACACUUUCUAGUGGGAAACUAAGCUAUCAGUAAUGUACAGUUCACUAGGAUCUUAUGUGAAUUAUCUACAAUAAUUAUAUAUGUUUCAACUGUUAUCUGUAGAUUUAGACUUCAAUAUUCCUUGUAUCACUUCAAAACUAUGUUUAGAUUUUUGCAGAAUGCAUAAACCAUUCUCUGAUCAAGUUGUUAUUAGAGAAAAAAAAAAUGGCUCUCAGGCCAAAGCCAAAUGAAUACUCUAACUUAUUUAAAUCCCUGCAUCUUCACCCACAGGCUUUUCUGUCUGUGCAAGCUCAUGUCAUUAAUGUAAUUUUAUUUUUGGACUGAUUGGAUGAAGCCAGAUGCAGUCAGCAACAGGGUCGGCAACACAUCUGGUUUUUUCAGACGUGUCUAGUGGGUCAAAUACAUGGAGUUUGGAAUAUUUAUAGCAUUUUUAAUAAAAUGCACCAAGAAAUAAUUUGGUGAUAUAACUCAGAAAAUCUAGUUUUCAAAAGGUAAAUCCUGAGAAAGCAGAAUCAGAUCCUGGAAGAAACAGAUUGUACCAAACUGACUUUCUGCGUACAAAAACACAAUCAAAUUCUGCAAGCAUGUGUGACUUUCAGAAUGGAUAUUUGCUCUGUCUCUGCUUUUAGUGUCAUGUAUCUACAAUGCACUGCAGAAAUGCUUGAGUCAUUUACAAACAAGCAAGCUUUGAAACUCAGUCCAGGAUAAAUACAGUAACGAGGUGCAAAUUUGUACAGUCAGCACAAAAACACUGCUUCCCUGUGCUGGUGUCAAUGUAAGCCACUCUUCCGUGUCAUGUGAAAUUACUCAGACUCUCAACAAACUCUCAAUGUGGGGUUAAACCAUGCAAUGUGAGCCUAUGUUACAUGGAAAUUCUUACGGGAUGUUGCACUCUUUUCCUUAAACAGAAAAAAUUGCAUACUUCUUUGCACUGUUCAUUUUCAAAUUGUAAUGAUUAUUACAAUAAAAAAACAUAAAUUCUAAUUAGCCUCAUUACAUGACACAAACCAGAAUGAAUAUAUUCCACUAGAAACACUUAAAAUAACCAGGAAAUUCAUUCAGAAAAAAAAAUAUAAACAGAAAAUUCUCAAAGAAAUGGUAUUUAAUAGGGAAUAAACACAUGAAUAAAAACAGUGCUCCCAUUGAUCAAGUUUUUUCUGGAGAUUGUGCUGCAUUCAGUACACAGAUCUUAAAAUUUUCAGAUUAUGUACUAAAUUUGAUGUUUGAUCUUUUCCAAGAUGAAAUAAAAACAUAAAACAUAUCUAGAUGAUUUACCAGGCAGACUUGAAGCUAGACAUCUACAUUCUCGAGGGUCAAAAGUAGUUACACUUAACUAAAGUUUUGUCUUCGCUGCCAUUCAAAAUAAAAAAUUACUCACUCUCAAAUUGACUUGGAUUUAAUGUCUGAGGAUUUCUAGUUUGGAACACUGGCACGUAUUAUACACUUUCACCAUACAAGUACCAUAUCAAGUACUUAUGGGCAUCACAGUGCAAUCAAUUCUGCAGAACAUACAUCUUUAUAAUGUCAAGCAGGUCUCAUAUCUUCCAUCCUAUCCACACUUUCUUAAAAGAGAUAUGUUCUCCUGCCUCAUAAUAAAUUAAUACACACAGCUUCAAUGACAAAUGAGACAACCAGCAUGAAACUUUAUUAGAGUGAAAAGUAUUAAGAUUAAAUGAGAGAUAAUGGUGGUCACUAAAGUUGACUGAGCAGUGUUGCAGAGGUUUAACAACAGAAAUAGGAUAAUUUCCUACAAAGAGCAUAAAAUAAAAAUCCUCAUGUCAUUAUCAAUUCUGAAUCUAUUUAUAUUCUAACUGAUAAAUUUUUUAUUAGAGUAAUUCCUGUAAGUGUUACUGACUAAAAGAAAGUAUUCAAGGCAGUAAAUAAAGAUCUAUGUGGCUAGAUAUUCAUAAACAGCAACAGUCUUAGUGAAAAUCAUGGAAUCAUGGAUUCGCAAAAUUGUUCAAGCAGGAAGGGAACUCAGUUCAUCUGGUACAGCCUUUCAUGGUUAAGGUUGCCCAGGACAUGCUUGUAUAACACCUUGCCUAACCAAAUGUCUCAAGUGUCGAAAAUGAAGGUCUUCAACUAAAACACUUACUCUUGAUCAUCAGGGUUUGAUUGCCUUCUAUAAAUGACAAUUUCAGUAAUCGCAGAAUGACAGAAUGGCCUGGGUUGGAAGGCAUCUUUAAGAUCCACUAGUUCCCGCCCUGCCCCCCACUAUAGGCAGGGGCAUCUCCCACUAGACCAGGUUGCUCAAAGCCCCAUCCAGCCUGGCCUUGAACGCCUCCACGGUGGGGGCAUCCGCAACCUCUCUGGGCAUCCUGUUCUAGUGUCACAUCACCCUCAUCACCCCCCCUAAUAUUUAGUUGAAAUCUACCCUCUUCAAGUUUAAAGCCAUUUCCUCUUGUCCUGCUGCUACAUGCCCUUACAAAAAUUCCCUCCUCAG